This 193-nucleotide ribosomal RNA is filed under the name uncultured bacterium. RNAcentral describes it as "partial 16S ribosomal RNA". It matches the Rfam family "Bacterial small subunit ribosomal RNA", at positions 337 to 522 of the family's 1533-position model. The record is from RNAcentral.
UCCUACGGGAGGCAGCAGUGGGGAAUAUUGGACAAUGGGCGAAAGCCUGAUCCAGCCAUGCCGCGUGUGUGAAGAAGGUCUUCGGAUUGUAAAGCACUUUAAGUUGGGAGGAAGGGCAGUAAGCUAAUACCUUGCUGUUUUGACGUUACCAACAGAAUAAGCACCGGCUAACUCCGUGCCAGCAGCCGCGGUA